RNAcentral lists this ribosomal RNA (486 nucleotides) under uncultured bacterium. Its description in RNAcentral is "partial 16S ribosomal RNA". It matches the Rfam family "Bacterial small subunit ribosomal RNA", at positions 30 to 507 of the family's 1533-position model. The record is from RNAcentral.
AUUGAACGCUGGCGGCAUGCCUUACACAUGCAAGUCGAACGGCAGCACGGGUGCUUGCCCCUGGUGGCGAGCGGCGAACGGGUGAGUAAUACAUCGGAACAUGUCCUGUAGUGGGGGAUAGCCCGGCGAAAGCCGGAUUAAUACCGCAUACGAUCUACGGAUGAAAGCGGGGGACCUUCGGGCCUCGCGCUAUAGGGUUGGCCGAUGGCGGAUUAGCUAGUUGGUGGGGUAAAGGCCUACCAAGGCGACGAUCAGUAGCUGGUCUGAGAGGACGACCAGCCACACUGGGACUGAGACACGGCCCAGACUCCUACGGGAGGCAGCAGUGGGGAAUUUUGGACAAUGGGCGAAAGCCUGAUCCAGCAAUGCCGCGUGUGUGAAGAAGGCCUUCGGGUUGUAAAGCACUUUUGUCCGGAAAGAAAUCCUUGGCCCUAAUACGGUCGGGGGAUGACGGUACCGGAAGAAUAAGCACCGGCUAACUACGUG